GCCAUAUUUCUCCAAUGUUGCUCGUGGCCAAAGAGGACCGACGCUCCCUUGCCGCGGAAGCUAACUAGCUACAGAGAGCCCGAAAAUACCCGACCUCCGCUCUGAAAGGUUCGACAAGGUGGCAAGCAGCUCAAUAAUCCUCAGAGGAGGCCAGGAAGGGGUCACGGAGACCCGAUGGAGACGGAUACGCUUGUAACUCUCCCCCAUAUCAGAGACAUUCUUACCUCUGCCGGAGCCUGCCCCAGGAAAAAGAAAGCUGCGGCAAUGACGGCACUACAAACUCCUUCCGGCCAGGACGGAAAGCGGCAAGCCAAGCCUUCUCGUGCUUGUUGGUUUUGAGGCCGCCCGAUUCCUCAAGUGCUCUGGCCGAUCUACGGAUAAAAAUUAAAAGAAAAGAAAAUACAUCAAGAAAAAAGACAGCUUCCCGGAGACCGAAACCCCGAAGCCAAAAAUAAAGGGGCUCGAUCGCCCAUCCUAAUAAA
Molecule: non-coding RNA, 482 nt
Organism: Pantherophis guttatus
Lineage: Eukaryota; Metazoa; Chordata; Lepidosauria; Squamata; Colubridae
Source: RefSeq, a predicted model, not a curated record